GUGCUCGCCUCAGCAGCACGUAGACUAAAAUUGGAACGAUACAGAGAAGAUUAGUAUGGCCCCUGCACAAGGAUGACACGCAAAUCCAUGAAGCAUUCCAUAAAAAA
Small nuclear RNA from Ailuropoda melanoleuca (giant panda), 107 nucleotides. Lineage: Eukaryota; Metazoa; Chordata; Mammalia; Carnivora; Ursidae. The record is from Ensembl.